Sus scrofa (pig) is the source of this 1063-nucleotide non-coding RNA. The record is from RefSeq and is a predicted model, not a curated record. Lineage: Eukaryota; Metazoa; Chordata; Mammalia; Artiodactyla; Suidae.
CGAUGAAUGGCAAAACGACCCUUGGUGUCACAGAUCAGAUGGAAAUUCUCUCCAGUCUUCUCAAUGCUGAUGAUAUCCCUAAAACCAGCAGGGAGAGAUGAGGAAAGACUGGAAAUGUGAGAAGGAGCAAGAAGCUACUCUAAGAACCCACUGAACAGUUCUGGAGUGGUCCUCAGCAGCGCCCACAUGGCAUGACCUCCUUAAGUCAUCAGGAGGAAGGGCAACCUCCACCCAACUCAGAGUCCAUGAGGGGAAGAGCCCACUUGCAUGAUCAUUAUUAGAUUCUCAGUGCCUGACACAAUACUUGAUUCAGAGAAGAUGCUCAACACUUGUUUGCAGAAGAAGAAAGGAAGAAGGAAAGGAAGGAAUGGAGGAAGAAAGGAAGGGAGCAAAUCCUUAAUAUAUAAGGCACGUUUAUAUAUCCAAUCAUUCCAAAGGCAGUACAACCAAUCAUAUAAUACAAGCAUACCUCAGAGAUACUGUGGGUUGGGUUCCAGAUCACCACAAUAAGGAAUAUAUUGCAAUAAAUAUGGCAGCAAAGCGAGUCGCAUGAAUGUUUUGGUUUCCCAGUGCAUAGAAAAGUGAUGUAGACACUAUACUGUAGUCUAUUAAGUGUGCAACAUUCUUACGUCUAAAAAACAUACUUGCAUUGACUGCAAAAUUCUUUAUCGCUAAGAAAUGCUAACCAUCCCUUGAGACUUCGGUGAGGCAUAAUCUUUCUUCAAUGGUGAUAUCAAAGAUCACUGUUCACAGAUCAUCAUGCAAAUAUAAUAAUAAUGAAAAAAUUUGAAAUGUGACACAGAGACAUGAAGUAAGCAAAUGCUGCGGGGAAAAUGGUGCCGAUAGACUCGCUCAACACAAGGUUGCCACAGACCUUGAACUUGUAAAAAGUGCAAUAUCAGUGAAGCGCAGACAAAGCAAAGUACAAUAAGAUGAGGUAUAUCUGUACUAAGCACAACUUUAAAAUACAUAAUUUCAGGAAAUCCACUGUAAAAUGUAUAGGCAUGACAAGUGCCACUGAUGGAGAGAAUACGUUUAAUGAUUAAAAGUGUCUCAGUCUCCA